UGAUCUAUCAAGUCCAUAUCAAGGGUUUGAGACCCUCAUGACUAAAAGCACAACCAUGGAUUGAUCAAAAAUGUCUAAAAGCAUCAUAUAUGAGUCCCAAUGAUCUUUAAAUGUCAUAUUGAUCUAGUAUUCUUCAAGAGUUUAGAAGUGAUUUGCCUUGGAAACCCUAGUUUGACUAGGUAUCUUAAGUAACUUCUCCAACAAGCUAUCUCACCAAUUGAUCAAAUUUCUCAAGGGACACUUAAACAUUCAUCAUAUUAUGCAUAUAUGAUCUACCAUGAGCCUAAAAAGUCAAGAAAAUUGAAGAUUAGCAAGUUGGUUGGUGGUGGUUGGCCAAAUGAAUUCAUCUGAUAAAAACUGGGUCUCCCUAGACCUUAUCUCCUACAAUUUUCACCAUAUGAAAAUGAUUCCAAGAGAAAAGUUACUCUAAAUGACAUUAUAAACA
RNAcentral lists this long non-coding RNA (445 nucleotides) under Lathyrus oleraceus (garden pea). RNAcentral's name for it is "Pisum sativum (pea) long non-coding RNA (PSAT_LNC026159)". The record is from RNAcentral. Lineage: Eukaryota; Viridiplantae; Streptophyta; Magnoliopsida; Fabales; Fabaceae.